This 440-nucleotide ribosomal RNA is filed under the name uncultured bacterium. RNAcentral's name for it is "partial 16S ribosomal RNA". It matches the Rfam family "Bacterial small subunit ribosomal RNA", at positions 338 to 795 of the family's 1533-position model. The record is from RNAcentral.
CCUACGGGUGGCAGCAGUGGGGGAUAUUGCACAAUGGGGGGAACCCUGAUGCAGCGACGCCGCGUGGGUGAAGAAGCGCCUCGGCGCGUAAAGCCCUUUCAGCAGGGAAGAAAAGGACGGAACUUGAAGAAGAAGCCCCGGCUAACUACGUGCCAGCAGCCGCGGUAAUACGUAGGGGGAAAGCGUAAUCCGGAUUUACGGGGUGGAAAGGGGGCGCAGACGGCGAUGCAAGCCAGGAGUGAAAGCCCGGGGCCCAACCCCGGGACUGCUCUUGGAACUGCGUGGCUGGAGUGCAGGAGGGGCAGGCGGAAUUCCUGGUGUAGCGGUGAAAUGCGUAGAUAUCAGGAGGAACACCGGUGGCGAAGGCGGCCUGCUGGACUGCAACUGACGUUGAGGCCCGAAAGCGUGGGGAGCAAACAGGAUUAGAUACCCGGGUAGUC